GACGAUUGUCGUCAUACGUGAUUCAUGCCCUGGUUUUGAUAUUCCUAGAUGGUUUUAGGCAUAGGUUUAGUAGUCUAUUUUGAUAAAAAAGAAGGCGAAAAUU
Molecule: long non-coding RNA, 103 nt
Organism: Rhagoletis zephyria (snowberry fruit fly)
Lineage: Eukaryota; Metazoa; Arthropoda; Insecta; Diptera; Tephritidae
Source: RefSeq, a predicted model, not a curated record